CACAGGGUUGUUUUAAGCAAAGCCAAACAACCCCUCCAAAAAAAGCAAACGAAAAAUUCCGGGUAAAAUCAACUAUGCGGAGACCACGUUUUCGUUGAAGCUGCCCUAAGACCAAAGAAGCUGAGACCGACCUUGAAGGAUUAACGAUUUCUGUAGCUGAAAUGUUCUAAUUUUACUGACGUUUGGUGGAGACGGUUUUUCGUUUCCUUGCUGUAAAUUCAAAAGCAUGAAAGUGGUUCAGACUCUCCCCUCCUCUCCUAUCUGCUGCAUUGCUGAAGAAUGGAUGGCAGAAGCUCACCCUGACGCCAGCUCUUUGACUUGCUCACACCUGUGUGGAGUGGUCGUCACUGGCCAUAAAUCCCCCUGGCUUCUCAUCCCUAACUAGAUCCAUGAACCACAGUCUGCUCCAAGAGUUCAAAGUCCUUUGUUGUGCCUUUGAAUUAAAAGCUGCACUUAAAUAACUUCACUUACCUGUAAAUCUGUGGAUCUUCGUAAACUGUGGGUGCCACAGUGGCACCAGUUUUCUAGGUGUGUAGCUGACCCUGCUGUGACCCUGGGUCAGUUUUUUUCACCUCCUUGGCCUUUGUUUCCACAGCUGUAAAAAUAGUCAAACUAUUUAUACCAACCUUUACCUUUUUCACAAGAACAGGGCCCUGAGUAGGCUUUCUACAAACAUUUGUGGAAUUUAGUUUUCAGAAAAAGGACUAAACUGGGAAUAUCAAUAAAAUUAUUGGACCACUUCUGAAAGUUCUAUAAAAUGCAAGAGGAGAAGGGAUUAUUGCUUGACACUGGAAAGUAAAGCAGGGAGGGCUAUUUUGUGUGUAUAUAACCAGUAUCAGAGAGAAGAAAGCUUAUUUACAUACCACAGCUAAGUAACAGUUGGUGAAGAAAGCAGAAUAGAAAUGAAAAUCUAUCUCCUGUAAAGGAGUUCCUUACUGAUGCCAACCGUUAACACAUGCCAAUGUCCUCACCAAAAGUUAAAAAAAAUUUAUCUCUACUCUAAGUAAAACAAUUUAUUUUCAUUUUUUUUGUUUUUGUUUUUGUUUUUUUUUGAG
Molecule: long non-coding RNA, 1055 nt
Filed under: Equus caballus (horse)
Lineage: Eukaryota; Metazoa; Chordata; Mammalia; Perissodactyla; Equidae
Description: lncRNA (ENSECAG00000058675.1)
Source: RNAcentral